Molecule: transfer-messenger RNA, 368 nt
Filed under: Halanaerobacter jeridensis
Lineage: Bacteria; Bacillati; Bacillota; Clostridia; Halanaerobiales; Halobacteroidaceae
Description: Standard tmRNA
Rfam family: transfer-messenger RNA
About the family: Bacterial tmRNA, also known as 10Sa RNA or SsrA, is named for its dual tRNA and mRNA-like properties.
Source: Rfam by way of RNAcentral
GGGGGUGUAUUGGUAUCGAUCUAUAGGGUGUGCCGGAGCCAGCGAGCCGAGAUUACUAUUAAGCCUCGUAAUAUUAAUAGUGUCUAAAUUUAUCUGCUAACAAUAACGCAGAUUAUUCUUUAGCUGCUGCGUAACGCAGUCAGCUAAAUGCUUAUAAGUCUCUUUGUCUGUGAGGGCUUAUAAGUAUCAUAAUUAAGCAGGCUACUCAUUUCCUGAUGCCUGUAGGGAAAUGGGGAAUUUAACAGGUUAGCAGUUUUAGAUCCUGCUUGGGGGAGCUAAAACUGUGAAGUUCAAAUCACAAGCUACGCUCGUAGAACCUCUAGGAGCACUCUAUAGACACGCCAGUUCGAAUCUGGCCAUCUCCACCA